UACGGAGGGUGCAAGCAUUGAUCGGAAUUACUGGGCGUAAAGGGCGCGUAGGCGGCAGAGAAAGUCAGAUGUGAAAUACCGGGGCUCAACCCCGGGGCUGCAUUUGAAACUUCUCAGCUAGAGGAUGGUUAGGGAAAACGGAAUUCCACGUGUAGCGGUGAAAUGCGUAGAUAUGUGGAAGAACACCGGUGGUGAAGACGGUUUUCUGGGCCAAACCUGACGCUGAGGCGCGAAAGCUAGGGGAGCAAACAGG
Molecule: ribosomal RNA, 253 nt
Filed under: uncultured bacterium
Lineage: Bacteria
Description: partial 16S ribosomal RNA
Rfam family: Bacterial small subunit ribosomal RNA
Source: RNAcentral